This is a long non-coding RNA of Haliotis rubra (blacklip abalone), 118 nucleotides long. RefSeq lists it as uncharacterized. The record is from RefSeq and is a predicted model, not a curated record. The transcript is spliced from 3 exons. Lineage: Eukaryota; Metazoa; Mollusca; Gastropoda; Lepetellida; Haliotidae.
AGACCAUAACAAACGUAAAUAUUUUGCUGGCAAUGUUCCAAUGGGGUACGAUAUAUAUGGUGUUAUUGCAACACGUAUACAAUGUUUGUGACUUGUGAGUCGCAAUCAAAACACUUUU